CUCAUAUGUCUUAGUGUUUUCCAUUUUUUUCUCUUUUCCAUUCACAGCAAUUUUUAACGUUCAGGUCUGCUUUCUUUACUACAAAGCUGAUAUCUUCACAGAACUGCUUCCCAGGACUCCCAGAUCUUACUUCUGAGAGUAAGCAAGCAAUAGAGCUGGAAAACUUGGCAGUGAACUCUUUCCUGCUUGUAUCCAUGGAACCUGGAUCUUACAAGGUAUAUAAAUAG
Molecule: long non-coding RNA, 227 nt
Filed under: Struthio camelus australis
Lineage: Eukaryota; Metazoa; Chordata; Aves; Struthioniformes; Struthionidae
Description: lncRNA (ENSSCUG00000003145.1)
Source: RNAcentral